RNAcentral lists this transfer RNA (76 nucleotides) under Brucella gallinifaecis. RNAcentral describes it as "Ochrobactrum gallinifaecis tRNA-Thr". It matches the Rfam family "tRNA". From Rfam's summary of the family: Transfer RNA (tRNA) molecules are approximately 80 nucleotides in length. The record is from RNAcentral. Lineage: Bacteria; Pseudomonadati; Pseudomonadota; Alphaproteobacteria; Hyphomicrobiales; Brucellaceae. RNAcentral also lists the same sequence under 5 other names.
GCCGCUUUAGCUCAGUUGGUAGAGCACAUCAUUCGUAAUGAUGGGGUCGUAGGUUCGAAUCCUAUAAGCGGCACCA